UAGUUUAUACGCUAUCUGGCUUCGUACGACAAAGAAUGAAGAACACAAAUUUUAUGGUUCAAUGGUUGAUAAAUCAACCAAGAUGGCCUCGAUUGCAAACAAACAAUUAAUUUACUUAUUUUGAACAAAUUAGCUAUAUACUAUAUAACAAUUGCCAAUCCUAUAGGCUAACCACAUGUACGCAAUGCGUACCUAUUUUUAGACAUUGCACUUCAAUCAAUUUGAUAUGGCUGCCUCAAUCGUAAUGUUUCUAUACAGUAGCAUGUUACACUUAACCAUGUUGUGUUGCAUGUAAUCUCCAACCAUGCAGAGGAUGUAUACGAUGCAAUAGACCUUUCCAAGGUUUCUACCGCCAUAUUGCAGGGGGUGCAAAAACAUUGGGGCGAGCGCGCGGCCACCAGUGGCGCCCAUACUAUUUCCUAUUGAGUGAGUGAAAA
Paramuricea clavata is the source of this 437-nucleotide non-coding RNA. NCBI's taxonomy places the organism in Eukaryota, Metazoa, Cnidaria, Anthozoa, Malacalcyonacea, Plexauridae. The record is from the annotation of a GenBank genome assembly.